Molecule: non-coding RNA, 58 nt
Organism: Aedes albopictus (Asian tiger mosquito)
Lineage: Eukaryota; Metazoa; Arthropoda; Insecta; Diptera; Culicidae
Source: Rfam
UAGCCUAGUGGUUAAGGCUAUGGAUCGUUAAUCCGGAGACGGCGGGUUCGAUUCCCGU